UGGUACAGUUUCACUGUACCCGGACAGUUCUUCGCGUGCUUGCGGAACGGUCACAGGACUGCCGUCAUAAUGGGACGGCAAUUACUUAAAUUGCAUAAAUGAAUAUUAUCACGCCGAGUCUGCAAUUAACCCAAAUUUGUUCAUCAGGUGAUCCAAGGAGUUUGCAGAAAGAAAGAGAAAACACGAUCGUGGAAUUGUUGAACAAAAGACGGUAAAAAGGAUUGAAAAAUGUCAAACUUGUUUUAUUACACAUUUAAUAUCGAUUAUGAUUAAUAACGACACAUGCGGGUAAAUAGUAAUACAGACACAGGAAAUAAAGAAAUAAAAUCA
Molecule: long non-coding RNA, 330 nt
Organism: Odontomachus brunneus
Lineage: Eukaryota; Metazoa; Arthropoda; Insecta; Hymenoptera; Formicidae
Exons: 2
Source: RefSeq, a predicted model, not a curated record